CCUACGGGUGGCAGCAGUGAGGAAUAUUGGUCAAUGGCCGCAGGGCUGAACCAGCCAAGUCGCGUGAGGGAUGACGGUCCUAUGGAUUGUAAACCUCUUUUGUCAGGGAGCAAAAGGCGCCACGUGUGGCGUUUUGCGAGUACCUGAAGAAUAAGCAUCGGCUAACUCCGUGCCAGCAGCCGCGGUAAUACGGAGGAUGCGAGCGUUAUCCGGAUUUAUUGGGUUUAAAGGGAGCGUAGGUGGAUUGUUAAGUCAGUUGUGAAAGUUUGCGGCUCAACCGUAAAAUUGCAGUUGAUACUGGCAGUCUUGAGUGCGCGAGAAGUAUGCGGAAUGCGUGGUGUAGCGGUGAAAUGCAUAGAUAUCACGCAGAACUCCGAUUGCGAAGGCAGCAUACCGGCGCGCAACUGACGCUCAUGCACGAAAGCGUGGGUAUCGAACAGGAUUAGAUACCCUUGUAGUC
This 460-nucleotide ribosomal RNA is filed under the name uncultured bacterium. RNAcentral's name for it is "partial 16S ribosomal RNA". It matches the Rfam family "Bacterial small subunit ribosomal RNA", at positions 338 to 795 of the family's 1533-position model. The record is from RNAcentral.